This is a long non-coding RNA of Triticum aestivum (bread wheat), 7872 nucleotides long. RefSeq lists it as uncharacterized. The record is from RefSeq and is a predicted model, not a curated record. The transcript is spliced from 18 exons. Lineage: Eukaryota; Viridiplantae; Streptophyta; Magnoliopsida; Poales; Poaceae.
AACACCGCACCGCGCGAGGGACGAAAACGGCAUCGAACCCUAGCCCCAAUCCACAGCCCCACGUCCCUCGCUCCUUCCUCCCUCACCCGCCGCCGCUCCCUCCCACCUCCUCCUCCUCCUCCUUCUUCUGCGCCCUCGGAGCCCCGCCGCCGGCUGCUACUCCUCCACCGCCUCGCCUCUUCCUCCUCCCCGCCUUCCCAUCGCUCGCGUGCAGGCCAUCGUGGCCACACGCUUCGUGGGCGAACCCGACCGGCCCGUCGCUGUUGGCUCGAGCUGUUGGGAAGAGGGAGGAGUCCCGAGACAGGGUGAAGGCGCAGGCCGUGCCUGGUGAGGCGGCGCCGCCGGCCAUGGGACGCUGGACCUCGGGGAGCCCCAUCCCAGGCCCGCGCCCAAAUUCUUGAGCAAGGGAGGAUAGAUCGACGAUGGCGCAUCACAUAAGGGAAUGGGAGAUCGAGGAGAAGGGAGACGAGGGUGGGUGGUGGCUUGCAGCAUGGGGCGGUCACGUCCAAUGAGGGUGGUGUUCUGUGGAUCUGGUGCCCCCUCUCCUUUGGCGACCUCCUCCUCAAGCGUUUCAGGUGAAAUGCGGUGAGGAGCAAUGCACACGCAGCCAAUGGAUGGGAUGGUGCUGCUACUGGGCAGUCUAGGACAUCCAGUGGUUGGAGUGGGGGCUCUGUUCUGUGAGCUGACCGCUCCGUCACGAACAAGCAACCAUCUGCGGCCUUGCAAGGGUCGACACCGCCAUUGCCGCCUCAUCUGUCCUUUCCAGAUGCCAUGGUCUCCUCUCCUCUACAGAGACCUCCUCAUCUGCUGCCGAUGGCUGUGAGUUCACGGCUGCUCCGGAGCUCCAACGAGCCAAGCUGUGUGCAAAUCCGACAAAGAAGAGAAAAGGAAGAAUAUUGAGGAAGAGUUUUGGUGAAGAAGAACAAGUGGAAGGAUCGGUUUUUAUGGCAUGCACUACAAAGGAGAGAAGUGGACCAUGUGAACGUAGUACAACAUUGUUGUUAGUUCGCGCAGUCGAGGUCUGCUCAGGAAGACACAGUUCGACCGAACAGCUGUUGUGUUUUCCCAGUUGUUUGCAAAUCUGACGAAAAGGAGCAAAGAAAGAAUAUUGAGGAAUAUUUAGGUAAAGAAGAACAAGUGCAUUUAUGUUGCUUCCUGCAAGGUCAAUGAUAUGGUGCCAGCUGGAAUUCAUAUUCAAGCUAAUACAGUGACUAAAUUUGGCGAGCGAGUGCCUGAUCAUGAUCUGCGGGAGGGUAACGGUUAUUAUAAUAAUUGAGUGUACCCAAUGGAGGCUGCAUUACAUAAUUAAUGGGAGGGUAAGGGCGUCCAUAGUUUUCAUUGAACUACUGCAGUUUCCAACUGAAUUUUCAUUUGCAGAUUCCGAAGAACGGAGUUCUAGGUUCUAACCAUGUCGCUUCCAUUUGUUGUAUUCUGAGAAUAAAUCUUGUUCUAUAUCCCUGCAUUGUUAUCCACCGGACUCUAAAACAAAAAUCAAUGUUUGCACAUCCAGACAAGGUAAACUUAUGAUGAGUGGACUCCACAAUAUAAAUUGACAUUCUAUGUCAGUGUAAGUGAGUCUAUACUCACCGAGGAACAAUUUGAUCUGAUAACUAUGAAAUGUUCUUUGUUGGUUUUGGUUCUAUAAGAUCAAGAUCUAUAAUUAUAUUCACUUUACAUGUUAACAUGUUGUAAAUAAAUUGUUAUCUAAUAGUCAGCAAUCUGUGGGAGCUUUUCCUCACAGUAGGGUGUGUUGUUGAUGUUUUCUUGAUCUAUCAGUGAACUUGUAUCAUGUGGCUAAUAUGUAUAUACAACGAGACUUUGUUUACGUUCGCCCUUUUUGUUCUGUGCGUGCUUGGUGAAUUGCUUACCCGGUGUGUGGCAGAAAAUAGAAAGUCGAGUUUGAUUUCUGUUGUGGCAUUGCAAUAGAUGACCAACCUUUUAUGUUAUGUGCUUUAGCUUCUUUUCAAAUUUUAGAGUGACAACCGUUUGACAAAGGGUGAAAUUUUUGGUAGGGCCUAGGUGGAAAGUAUUUGAUUAGUUUUUUGAGAGACUGAACUAUAUUUUUAAUUCUGUUUUGUGCUAAUGAACUACUUUUUAAUCACUUUCUUAUGAACGUAUAAAAUAAAUUACAUUGUAAUGUAUCAUGUUGUAUUACAUGAAAAGGUGUUGAAAAGGACGCAAUCCAUCAAAUAUAUGUAGUAUGAUAUAGGAUCCUCGCUUUAUUGUAUCCAUAUGUUGUAAGGAGAUUAUCUUGUCCAUUCAUUAUUCUUAUUAUUUGUCCUUUUCACAUUAAUCGUGAGUAGACUUGGGCCAUUGCAUUUGAUGUUGAUCUUAUUUGCAUAUUAGUCCAAGAACAACAAUUGCUCUUUGUUGUGGCAUUGCUGGAGAAAUACAAAUGUAUAUACCCGUUUCCCACUGUCCAGUCGAGGAGAUCCCUGAGGCAUUUGAUUCUUGUGGGACUCCAACACAUCUUACAGGAUCAUCAACAAGUGGCCGGGCCUCUGCAUUACUCAGAAAAGCUUCCGACAGUUUCCGAUUCAAAAGAAAACAAAUAAGAAAGGAUGCAUUGAUUAUUUUGGGUUGAUCUUGUUUGAAUUUCCAGUGAAAUUCAAACUUGAGACCUUACUCGAAGUAUUUAGUUCCAAUGGAACUAAAUGAAUUUCCCAAAAUGCCUCUUUGGGUAUUAGUUGCAUUUUUAUUUGGAUCCUUGUAUAUUCAAACAGUUUCUGAUUCAAAAGACAACAACAGUGAGAAGAUAAAAUGAUUAAGCAACACCCAAAUAGUGGUCGCAGCAGAUCUCUCUCUCAUUCUCUUUCCAGUUUGGUUGACCAUUCUUUCUGUUCUUAGGUCUUUGAUCUGCUUUCUUCUUCAAUGAAGUAGACCACGAUCUCCUACACAUUCUGCCUUGCUCCCCGGGGCAACCUUCUAUGUUUUAGAUCCACUCUUUUUUUUUGAGAGAUAAUGGGCAGCCUCAUUCAUACAUUUCAGAACUGUUCAGUACAAACUAUAUUCCUGAUAACUUCAGGAGAUACAUUAAACCAGCAUGACCCUUCAUCAUGUUCAGCAGACUUUGCUAGAACAUGUGCUGCCUCAUUACAACUUCGACUAACAUGAGUAAAACAACAGGAUAAGAACCUUGGAGCCCUACUCUUAAUAUCAAAAACUACAGCACCUGUGUGAGACCUGUCAUCCACUUUACUCUUAAUUUUGUUGAUCAAACUGGCACAAUCUGUCUCCACAAGGAUUUUCUGGAAACUGGAAUCUUCAGCAAAAAACAACGCAUGGCGCAUUGCAAUAGCUUCACCCAGCUCCGGAUUAUCAACAUGAUGAAUAAACCCUCUGCUUGCUGCCAGCACCAGACCUAGAUGAUUUCGGAUCACAACACCAAUGCCCAUGCGUUUAGUCUGGGCAAAAAUCGCAGCAUCAACAUUGACCUUGACCGACUCAGCCGGCGGCGGAGACCACUUCGGGAUUGACACCUGGUGCUCACGCCUAUUGGAGCCAGUCGACCUGAAAUUGUGCAAUAAGAUGAAAUCGACAUAAGCUCUGGUGUGUGCCGACGGAAUUCACUCUUUUCGUUCUGGUUUUAACUAUGCUUAUGAUUACCUGUCUUGCCGAAAUUCACUUGCCAUACGCAAGUCUUCUGGUGUGUGCCGACGGAAAUUAUAUUUGCGCAAUCAGAUUAGAGUAGAUAAUUUCCUAACCUUGAUUCCUUAUCGAUUGCUUACUAAAAUGUAUGUACAGUUAUUUCAUUCCAUGCUUACAAUCCACAAAGUUAAUUCUUGCGAUUUACUUCCGCUAUCAAAAUAUGUUUGAUUUCCUAUACCCGUAGGUACCAUUGUAUACCUGAAUCCAUGUGAUUUCAUGUCUCUAUGGUUAUAUUGAUUAUCUUGUAAUCUCAUGUCAUCAGUUUUCUCAGGGGUUAUUAGAUUCUUAACGGUGCUAAAACUUUGUUGGUAAUCAUUCUUAAUAUACACUCCAUUUACAGCUUGUGCCUAACCUUUGGAUUUAUCUUCUUUCAAAGUGAUCCUCAUUGGGCUGGUUGAGCUAUCCAACAAGUUUCUAGCUGAGGCAAUUUGAAAAGCUCGAGCUCCCUAAACCAGUCUACUUCGUACGUAGGCUUGAGGAGGGUGGAUAUGUGUCGGUAGUUGAGUUUUACCCCACAAAGGAGCAUUUCUGCAUUUCAGCAGAACGAAUUGCGCUGUCAGAUCCGUAUGUAAGGAUGGGGUGUUAUCGAUGAAUCAGGAUGGGGUGUUAUCGAUCAAUCACGCGGCUGUUCGAGCCCUCAGGUUCAUGGAACGGAGAGAGCACAAGGUGCUUCUUGAUUUCAACUAUGAGCAUCUGCAAGAAGAAAAAAAAAGGCAUAUGCAAGCAUCACAAACAAGCUACUCGAAAAAGGAAAAGAAAUUAAGAAGCACAAGAAGACCAUCAAACAGAUGACUAGGGAAGGGUGCGAGUAUGUGGAUGAAGUGUGUGUUGCACCAAACGAAAUCCAUUAUCAUGCUGGAGCUACCUACUGCUUCUUCAAUGACAGACAUGCUCUUCUGGAGAUUCAUGAUGUCGUGGUUGAACUUCAAAGCAUUACAAGCGCGGCAUGUCUCUCACUGCAGCAGAAAGGUAUAUACCCAUAUGAUCCAAGCUCAGACUCAAGUUGUGGUGUGGAUUUUGUUAAUGAGAUGGGUGAUGGCUACAACUAUGAGUGAUCACCGUAGGCAUAGGCUUACUCUUAGGCAGUCUGGUAUGCAUACUAAACGCAGCUAUGAACACUAUGCGUUGUACUGACUUUGAUGCAUCUCUCUCCAUGUAACUUUGCUUAUCAUAAACUAAUCUCAAGCCUUUCUUUUGGCCUAUGAACCUACCUUUAAUGUAAUAGAUAACGCUAUCAUACAUAAAUAUCUACUUCCUUGCUUCAAAGAUUUAAUGACUGGUCUCUAAAUAUUCUUUUCUUCCAUGGUUCGCUCUCGCCCUUUGCGCCAUUGGCGCAACGGGACGGGCUCCCCUGCAUCCUCCUCCUCGCGGGCGAGGACGACGCCUCCGGAGUGAGCUGAGGGUGGGGGGCGGGUCAAGGCUGCUGUUGGCGGCCUGGAUGCAGGCGAUGGUGGCGGCCGGCGGGGGUCUGGCGGGCGAGGGAAGGAGCAGCAAGACUGGUGAUGGGCCAAGCGCCACCAGAGGAGGGGGAAGGGGCGACUUCGUGCUUCGCAACAACAGUUCGUGUCCAUGAAAAAAUUGUGGUGGUGAUGGUUGAUCUAAGUAUCAGAUUGGUUAUAUGGAAAUGGGGCUUUACUUCCGGAGAUGUUCCCAAUGAAGGAGCUUCGAGGCGAGCACUCCAAUGAUGUAGUUUUGUAUAUGGCAUAAUCUUUAAUGAAGAUGAUCGGGAAAGCUCAAGGACAGCCCCUGGUUGAGGAGGCCGAGGAAAGCCCACAGUCGAGGAGGGGAUGCUCGGCACAGCUAGGGUUUGGGUGGGGGUUGGUUCCAACACCGAUGAUGACAUUGGCCAACAGCGGCACAUCCCUCGAUUUCCAUAACCUCACACCAUGAGUAUGAGGUUGCAUAGGCAGCUGGAGCUUGUCCCCUGCGCCCUUCUCUGGUCGUAGAUAAAACUGUCAUGUUGCUUUAGAUUUAAGUGGCCAGGUCUUGAUAGUAGGCAUGGCUGAACGCGCCUUUUGUUGAAUUUGGACACCAUCUAUAAUAUAGCUAUUUGUUUAGGAGCUUGAACAAGUCUCGGUAUAUGUUAAUUUUGCAGAACUGAAUGUUAGCACAGAAUUGUAUGAGUCUCGGUCCAGUCAAGGUUUCUUUGUCUGCAAUUGAAAAUUAUGUGAGAACUGGGUUUUUCCUCCAAUACCCCAAUUUCAGCAGAUAUUGAAAACCUCGAGAGUUUGGUGCCAUUUGUCACGCUUGUAUACUUAAUGCUAUUCUUUGUGUCUUUAAUAAUGUCUCACCAUUUGUACAACUCAAAAGAGGAUUUCCCAUGAACAUUUUAGCACUACUCUUACCUAUCGAUCAACAAAAGUUAUUCUCUGCAGGUUAAAUUUGUUUAAAGAUGAUGCUAUGCAAAAUGCGUAAGCUGGGGAUGGCAUGACAGUGCAUGGUGAUGCUGUCGGUCAAGAAGUACCAUGCCGCUCUUGCCUUCCCUGCCAAUGCUUCCUCCUACCAUGCUAGCCAUGUGUGCCCUCACCUUUGUUCAUCAAUUCGUGUGCAGUUAUUCAGAGAACACCACAUGUCACAUGAAUUCUAGACUACUUGUCUACAGUUAACUGAACCAGGUCUUGAGUUUGCUUGCUUAAUCGUGUCCCUGUGUAAUUGCUCACCAAGCUCGCCAAUGUGAGUUUGUCCCACAUAAUGGAGUUUCUAUGAAUUUUUGUAGUCCAGAAAUUCUUGGAAAUUCUCUUGUUGCUGUUAUAAUGUGGGUGUGUUCGGCUUCCUUCUUCAUUAAAGUUUGACAAGAGUCGUAAAACCAAUGGAUAAGAGACUGUUUGAUGGUGAAAGCAUUUAUGCUCGUGGUGACUACCUCAAGUGUGCCAGAAUGGCUGCUGUUAAACAAGAGGAGGUAGACACAGCCAAUGAUACCAGCGGUGGCCAAAUUACCCAUGACGAACCACUAUGUCGGAAGCACAAUAAGCGACACGAGUAUAUUCAUCGCCCACGCAAAGCAAGCUUAAUCCAAAAGUUCAAAGGCAAGAAAAUCCAUCUAAAGCCUGGAAAGUCCAUUCUCCGUGGUGAGCCUUGCAAGCACUACUUAGAUGAGUUUAGUCACCACGUUACGUUGUGUGGGGCAACACAGUUAGGCUCUACAACAUAAUGUUCGUGCACUGCGAAAGAUCAUCCGCAGCACCACCACGCCUAAUAACUACUAUGUGUGCCACAUGACAGAAACAUUUGCAACACAAGGCAAAAGAAUGUACUUUAAUGUCCACUUUUCUACGGGUUCCCUUUUCCCACACAUGAAUGCUGACCACGGUGAACUUCCAAUCACAACUGGAGACGGAACAACCACCGUCACGGUCCGCUUUAUCAAGGGAGUUGACAAAAGGGCCACCAUCACUAAAGGCUGGAGCGACUUCUUUCGUCGGACCCACAUGAACGAAGGGCAAGCAUAUGCUUUCGGCUUUAAAUGCACUUCCAAGGGAUUGCGCCUGAUUGUCUACUCAAUAUAAGCAAGCUGCAGGAGCCCCUUGCUAUAUAACAUAGUAUUAGUAUAAAUGCCUACAAAGACAUCUAUGUUUAUCCUCCUUUUUGAUCUUCUGUAAUCCCCUAAGACAGUGUUGUGCAUUUAGCUAUCGAUUAUCCGCUACUUAGACUGCUCUAUCGCAUGCUUUUGAAACAACCAUGAUAAAGGAAAUAUAUGCUCCUUCAAGUGCAUAUCCAAAGGCCUCUGCAUGAUUAUUUAUCCAAUUUGAAAAGAUCACAAGGGUACUUUCCUACAUGACUUGGUGUAUCAUUUUCAAUCUUAUGUACUUACUGCAUAUAGUAUAUGAGCUAUUCAUUUUGAACAACAAUAUGUUAAUGCAUACUCUUACAUCAAUUGGCUUACAUUUGGCCUUUGCGCCAUGGGCGCAACGGGUCAUCUAGUGUUGAAUAAAGCCAAUGCCAUUGCACAUGUUGAUGUCUGCAUUCCUUUUGUCAGCACCUUUUGCCUUGUAACCCUGUACUUAAUUAAUUGCUAUUUGAUUAUGUAUCAUCAGUUUGCAUCUGAGCUUCAUUAUGCUCUGUUUCUUUCAAUAUUAUUUGAUCUAUAUUUACUGUUUACAAAAUGUAGAAUAAUGGCAACGCUUAUAAAGAAUUUCUUUGGGGAAUAUAUUGAAUUAUCCUUCCAUCAACAUGGAGAAGGGCUUUCUCCAGCCCGUGUUAACAUGUAAUAGUCGUAUCUCUUAU